Non-coding RNA from Cyprinus carpio (common carp), 490 nucleotides. Lineage: Eukaryota; Metazoa; Chordata; Actinopteri; Cypriniformes; Cyprinidae. The record is from the annotation of a RefSeq genome assembly.
CAGCCUCAAGAUAUGUCACAACAUCUUUUGACUGCAGAAUAAACAGUUUAGAGAUUGAAUUGACUGUGAAUUUAAAUUUAUUUCCUCUGUUUCUUGACUGAAUGUUAUAAUCAUGAUCAGACCAAUCAUUUUAACUAUUUACUGGUUACCAAUUUGUGUGGUUUGUUCUCCUGUCAUUCAGCAGUCUCCCAAACAUCUUCUACGGAGAGUGGAGGAGAAAGAGGCAAAUCUUUCAUGUCAUCACGGUGACAAUGACUAUCCAUACCUGUUCUGGUAUCAACAGAAAAGCAAUGGUGGUUCUUUAGAGCUUAUUGGAAUGCUCAGUUAUGGAGCAGAUUCUGAAGAGGAUAAAUUUAAAUCUCGAUUUGACAUCCCAGGACAUGCUAAAGAGGAUGCAUUCCUGCUCAUAUCCAACAUAACAGCUGAGGACAGCGCAGUGUAUUUCUGUGCAGCAAGUAAGCACAGCCGUACAAUUCCGUAUAACCACUGA